UUUUUGGUUUAGGGAUAGAGUGGAAAGGAAACGGUUAGAGGUAACGGACACAGCUCUGUAAGUCGAGAGGAUGAAAUCAGAGCGGUUGGGAGAGGCCGGCCCUCAUUCGGCUGUUUGAUUUUUCGUUUCGUGCGUGAUAGGCGUAGAACGUCGCAACUCGAUUGAUUUGUAACAGAAGGGUUGCGUGAUUUGUUCGACGCGGUUCUCACGUUUUUCGCGAUAUAUGUGUGUGGAGUCGGUAGCGAUGCCGUGCUUUGAUAGUUAGGCGAUAAGAGUAACAGCUUGCGUUUUGAGAUAUUCACGCUGGAAGCGUCGCUCGUUUACGAAGAAUUUUCGGGUCUUUUUCCGCCCUGUCUUAAAACCCGGCCCAAGGAGUUUAACGUACGCGCGAGUCGCGGGGUGUCGCGACCCCCCAGUUUCGCGGUAAGAGUGUAAACCAGAGUAGGCGAAAUGAAGGUGAGCGCGCUCGCUUCGCGAUCGGGGGGAUGACGGCGAUUCCCACAAACUCUUGUCGUCUGUGAGAUGUCGACGGAGAAAGCUCGCACUCCCGGGGCGCUCAAGAUGGCGCGUCGGUGCGCGGUUCGCCGCGUAUUCGACCACUUAGGGCCCACCCGUAGCGUAUACGUUGGUACCCGAAAGAUGGUGAACUACCCCCGCCCAGGAAGAAGUCAGGGGAAACAGGGGGGGAGGUCCGUAGCGGUUCUGACGUGCAAAUCGAUCGUAUGAGCUGAGUAGGGGGCGAACGACAACCCCCCC
Molecule: ribosomal RNA, 756 nt
Filed under: Matsucoccus macrocicatrices (white pine fungus scale)
Lineage: Eukaryota; Metazoa; Arthropoda; Insecta; Hemiptera; Margarodidae
Description: partial 28S ribosomal RNA
Rfam family: Eukaryotic large subunit ribosomal RNA
Source: RNAcentral